AAUCAACGCUGGCGGCAUGCCUAACACAUGCAAGUCGAGCGGGAAAGGGGGCUUCGGUCCCUGAGUAUAGCGGCGGACGGGUGAGUAACACGUGGGUAAUUUGCCCUUGGGUGUGGAAUAACUCAGGGAAACUUGAGCUAAUACCGCAUGACAUCCCCUUCACACACGAGUUGGGGAUCAAAGCCGGGGACCCUUCGGGGCCUGGCGCCUGAGGAGAAGCCCGCGCCCGAUUAGCUAGUGGUGAGGUAAUGGCUCACCAAGGCUUCGAUCGGUAGCCGGCCUGAGAGGGCGGACGGCCACACUGGGACUGAGACACGGCCCAGACUCCUACGGGAGGCAGCAGUGGGGGAAUUUUUGUCAAUGGGGGAAACCCUGAACAAGCAACGCCGCGUGGAGGA
This 398-nucleotide ribosomal RNA is filed under the name uncultured bacterium. RNAcentral's name for it is "bacterial SSU rRNA". It matches the Rfam family "Bacterial small subunit ribosomal RNA", at positions 32 to 408 of the family's 1533-position model. The record is from RNAcentral.